AUUUGACCUCAAAUCAGGUAGGAGUACCCGCUGAACUUAAGCAUAUCAAUAAGCGGAGGAAAAGAAAAUAACAAUGAUUCCCCUAGUAACUGCGAGUGAAGAGGGACGAGCUCAAAUUUUAAAUCUGUUAGGUUUACCUAACCGAGUUGUAAUUUGAAGAGGCGUUUUCUGUGUUUCUGAUCAGCCCAAGUCCUUUGGGAUAGGGCAUCAUGGAGGGUGAGAAUCCCGUUCGGUUGGUCAGAUUCGCUUUACGAUACGUCAUCUAAGAGUCAAGUUGUUUGGGAUUGCAGCUUAAAAUGGGAGGUAAAUUUCUCCUAAGGCUAAAUAACGGCGAGAGACCGAUAGCGAACAAGUACCGUGAGGGAAAGAUGAAAAGAACUUUGAAAAGAGAGUUAAACAGUACGUGAAAUUGUUGAAAGGGAAACGAUUGAAGCCAGUCGUACCUUCGGGUAAUCAGCCUUUCGGGUGCGAUUCUGUGGAGCGUGAGGAGUUAAACGCCUUCAUGCCUGCAUAUUCGUGCACUUUGGGUGUACUUGCCCGUGUGGUAGGUUAACAUCAAUUUCGGAUAUCAUAAAAUGGCUGGAGGAAUGUAGCUUCGGUCUCGUACUGAAGUGUUAUAGCCUCUGGUAGAUGUGAUGACCGGGAUUGAGGAUUGCAACGAAUACCUUUUGGGCUACCCGCCUGAUCUCUGAAAGUUGCUCUGGUGCCGAAAGCUUGCUUACGGUUAUCAAAGUUGACGUUCAAAAGGUUAGAACGGGUUAAAUUCGUUAAGGAUGUUGACGUAAUGGCUUUAAACGACCCGUCUUGAAACACGGACCAAGGAGUCUAACAUAUAUGCGAGUGUUC
This 846-nucleotide ribosomal RNA is filed under the name Rhizophagus intraradices. RNAcentral describes it as "eukaryotic LSU rRNA". It matches the Rfam family "Eukaryotic large subunit ribosomal RNA", at positions 1 to 695 of the family's 3401-position model. Lineage: Eukaryota; Fungi; Glomeromycota; Glomeromycetes; Glomerales; Glomeraceae. The record is from RNAcentral.